Non-coding RNA from Apiotrichum porosum, 81 nucleotides. NCBI's taxonomy places the organism in Eukaryota, Fungi, Basidiomycota, Tremellomycetes, Trichosporonales, Trichosporonaceae. The record is from the annotation of a RefSeq genome assembly.
ACACCGUUGGUGAAACGGUAUCAUGCGUCGUUGCCAUGUGCAACACUCGACGCGGCAGGGGUUCGACUCCCUUACGGUGUA